AACCCACAAAAAAAAAAAAAAAAUUUAUUUGUUCGUUCUUCUAACUGUCCCUCUUUCUUUCGUAUACUACCUCUUUCUUUUCCUUCCUACCACCCCCCCACCCCCACCACCCACCUGAUUUUCCCCUCAGCUAUUUUUCUGCAUUUGGUUCCAUUUGUUAAAUCCUGUCUCCUCUCUCUCUCUCUCUCCUCUCUAAAUAUUAUCUUUCCCUCUCUAAAUCGCCGGCGAUCUUCUUCUGCUUCCACCUCCGCACGUCUUCCGGAUCAAAUCUUCACUUCCCUACUUUCUCGCCAGGUUCUGUUUCUGCUUAUCACUUAUCCACACCCCCCCCGCCCUCCCUACUUACUCUCUUCUACUUUCUUCUGCUACUAGUAUACAAAACUUACCACUGUUUCUUGUGGUUGUUGUUGUUCAUCUACACUGUAACUAUUUCCUAUAAUAACCCAAAAAUAACUAUAAUACAUAGACGAUCUGGUUCUUAAGUUGCGGAAACUUAGAUACUUUAAUAAAAGAGUCGGAGGAGGAUUCUGGGUUUUUGGGGAGAUGUAGUUGGUGUUGGUAAUUAAGUUUCGAGGAGGAUGCAUUUUGGGCUUUGUGGGGUUUACCCUUUCUCGGGUUUUCUGGAUUUUUAGUGACAUUAAUUGGCGGGUGACAUCAAAAAAAAAAUAAUAAAAAAUAAAUA
RNAcentral lists this long non-coding RNA (682 nucleotides) under Coffea arabica (coffee). RNAcentral describes it as "long non-coding RNA (CARA_LNC002391)". The record is from RNAcentral. Lineage: Eukaryota; Viridiplantae; Streptophyta; Magnoliopsida; Gentianales; Rubiaceae.